RNAcentral lists this ribosomal RNA (229 nucleotides) under uncultured bacterium. Its description in RNAcentral is "partial 16S ribosomal RNA". It matches the Rfam family "Bacterial small subunit ribosomal RNA", at positions 15 to 225 of the family's 1533-position model. The record is from RNAcentral.
GAUCCUGGCUCAGGACGAACGCUGGCGGCGUGCCUAACACAUGCAAGUCGAACGAAGCACUUCUGAAUGGAGAUUCGUCAAAGUUCAGAUUUGACUUAGUGGCGGACGGGUGAGUAAUGCAUGAGCAACCUGCCCUGCAGUGGGGGACAACAGUUGGAAACGACUGCUAAUACCGCAUGAUGUAUCUUGGAAGGCAUCUUCCGGAUACCAAAGAUUUAUCGCUGUGGGA